Fukomys damarensis (Damara mole-rat) is the source of this 788-nucleotide long non-coding RNA. RefSeq lists it as uncharacterized. The transcript is spliced from 7 exons. The record is from RefSeq and is a predicted model, not a curated record. Lineage: Eukaryota; Metazoa; Chordata; Mammalia; Rodentia; Bathyergidae.
ACAGAGCACUCAUACUGAUUUCUAGAUCCAUGGAUUGAGAAUUUCUAUGGUGGAAAUACCUAAGAGAAAAGCAUUUGGAAUAACUUCUGCCUAUAAAAAUAGUGAACUAAAGCUUCCAGAUUCUUGGACUUAGCAGCUGGUGGAUUCUCCAUGGCCAUUGUGCUCAUGGCCAUUAUGGACUUUUCUGCCUCUGAUCCUUUCAAGGACUCCAUCCUGGAUAAAGCAAUUCACAGUCAACAUACCAAGGACUAGGACUUGGUAAUAGCAUAAAGUAUAAGAGGAGAGGACGGCAAUGGCCAGCUUAUAAAGGCCUUGGUAAAAAAAGAACCUGCAUUUCUGCCUCUUUUCGGUAGUGGUGGCAAUGACACAAUAAGAUGUCCCCAAAAUCUGUCCAAGAAGCAGAAAUGAACAAAUAUUUUUGGAAUGGAGAUCCCAUUGGUGCUACUUUCAAUAUACAGUGGAUCCUCAAGUUUCGACUGGCCUGACUUAUGAUCAUCUGCCUCUUGUUAUCUAUAGUGUGUACCCAGAAGGAAAUGAGCCCCUGCCCUGGAAAAAAGCAUUUAAAAAUCUACAAACAUCACAAAGGUGGUCACCAAAGAAUUGAGAUAGUAGGGACUGAACUCAGACCAUCUGGCUCUAGAUUCAACAACUUCACCUCCAAACCAUUAUACUUAAACAUGAUUGAAAACUCCACCAAUUCAGCAUGGAAAGCCUUAAGUACACUGAGCAAAAUGAAAUGAAAAAUAAAGCAAUAGUAACUUACCAGUUUUUAUUUGGUAACUCUAUAC